RNAcentral lists this ribosomal RNA (1098 nucleotides) under Tridontium tasmanicum. RNAcentral's name for it is "eukaryotic LSU rRNA". It matches the Rfam family "Eukaryotic large subunit ribosomal RNA", at positions 52 to 1134 of the family's 3401-position model. The record is from RNAcentral. Lineage: Eukaryota; Viridiplantae; Streptophyta; Bryopsida; Scouleriales; Scouleriaceae.
GGAGGAGAAGAAACUAACCAGGAUUUCCCUAGUAAUGGCGAACGAACCGGAAAUAGCCCAGCUUGAAAAUUUCGGCGCUGCGCGGCGAAAGUUGUAGUCUGGAGACGCAUCCUCUGCAACGCACCGGACCCAAGUUCCCUGGAAAGGGACGUCAGAGAGGGUGACAACCCCGUCGAGUCUGGACCGUGUUGCUCCACGAGGUGUGGUCGUCGAGUCGGGCUGUUUGGGAAUGCAGCCCUAAGCGGGAGGUAAAUUCCUUCCAAGGCUAAAUAUUGGCAAGAGACCGAUAGCGAACAAGUACCGCGAGGGAAAGAUGAAAAGGACUUUGAAAAGAGAGUUAAAAAGUGCUUGAAAUUGCUGGGAGGGAAGCGAAUGGAAGCUGCGGGUGUGCCCCGGUUGGAUGUGGAACGGUUCCGGCUGGUCCGCCGCUCAACGCGGGGCACUGGUCAGCGUGGGCCGUCGCGGCGGGACAAGAGCAGGGUGUAGCUCCCUGCCUAUGCCGUUGCGGCGGCCGAGGAACGAAGCGCGCGGGGUUGGGUCUUCCCUUCCCCGUGGGACUCCCGUCCCAACUGCGCGCUCGGGACGCUGGCGUAUUGAGCUCUUCAUCCGACCCGUCUUGAAACACGGACCAAGGAGUCUAACAUGUAUGCGAGCCGGUGGGCGGCAAACCCAUUGAGGCGCAAGGAAACUGACAGGUGGGACCCCCCUAAACAGGGGAGCACCAUCGACCGACCGUGAUCUUCUGUGAAAGGUUCGAGUGUGAGCAUACCUGUUGGGACCCGAAAGAUGGUGAACUAUGCCUGAGCAGGGCGAAGCCAGAGGAAACUCUGGUGGAGGCUCGUAGCGAUACUGACGUGCAAAUCGUUCGUCAGACUUGGGUAUAGGGGCGAAAGACUAAUCGAACCAUCUAGUAGCUGGUUCCCUCCGAAGUUUCCCUCAGGAUAGCUGGAGCUCGUGUAAGAGUUUUAUCAGGUAAAGCGAAUGAUUAGAGGCAUCGGGGGUGUAACACCCUCGACCUAUUCUCAAACUUUAAAUAGGUAAGCCGCCGGGGUUGCUUGGUUGAACCCCGGCACAGAAUGAGAGCUCCAAGUGGGCCAU